CUACGGAGGAUGCAAGCGUUAUCCGGAUUUAUUGGGUUUAAAGGGUGCGUAGGCGGUUUGCUAAGCGGGAGGUGAAAUGCCGGCGCUCAACGUCGGAAGUGCCUCCCGAACUGGUGGACUUGAAUGACUCUGCCGUGGGAGGAAUGUGUAGUGUAGCGGUGAAAUGCUUAGAGAUUACACAGAACACCGAUUGCGAAGGCAUCUCACGAAGGGUUGAUUGACGCUGAGGCACGAAAGCGUGGGGAUCAAACAGGAUUAGAUACCCUGGUAGUCCACGCAGUAAACGAUGAUGACUAACUGCCGGCCCGUUGCGGGUCGGUGGCCAAGCGAAAGCGAUAAGUCAUCCACCUGGGGAGUACGACCGCAAGGUUGAAACUCAAAUGAAUUGGCGGGG
This 394-nucleotide ribosomal RNA is filed under the name uncultured bacterium. RNAcentral's name for it is "partial 16S ribosomal RNA". It matches the Rfam family "Bacterial small subunit ribosomal RNA", at positions 523 to 918 of the family's 1533-position model. The record is from RNAcentral.